Molecule: non-coding RNA, 165 nt
Organism: Paramuricea clavata
Lineage: Eukaryota; Metazoa; Cnidaria; Anthozoa; Malacalcyonacea; Plexauridae
Source: the annotation of a GenBank genome assembly
AUUUUUUCUGUGUUGGUGUAAUGUACUCAGGUGAAUAUGAUGCUUGUGAUGUUACUCUGAGUGUAUAUCAAGCUUGUCCGGUGUUGAUAUACACUCAGAGUAACAUCACAAGCAUCAUAUUCACCUGAGUACAUUACACCAACACAGAAAAAUCAUGUUUAAUAU